Molecule: ribosomal RNA, 471 nt
Filed under: uncultured bacterium
Lineage: Bacteria
Description: bacterial SSU rRNA
Rfam family: Bacterial small subunit ribosomal RNA
Source: RNAcentral
GACGAACGCUGGCGGCGUGCCUAAUACAUGCAAGUCGAGCGGACAGAUGGGAGCUUGCUCCCUGAUGUUAGCGGCGGACGGGUGAGUAACACGUGGGUAACCUGCCUGUAAGACUGGGAUAACUCGGGAAACGGGCUAAUACCGGAUGCUUGUUUGAACCGCAUGGUUCAAACAUAAAAGGUGGCUUCGGCUACCACUUACAGAUGGACCCGCGGCGCAUUAGCUAGUUGGUGAGGUAAUGGCUCACCAAGGCGACGAUGCGUAGCCGACCUGAGAGGUGAUCGGGCCACACUGGGACCGAGACACGGGCCCAGACUCCUACGGGAGGCAGCAGUAGGGAAUCUUCCGCAAUGGACGAAAGUCUGACGGAGCAACGCCGCGUGAGUGAUGAAGGUUUUCGGAUCGUAAAGCUCUGUUGUUAGGGAGAACAAGUACCGUUCGAAUAGGGCGGUACCUUGACGGUACCUAACC